UACGGAGGGUGCAAACGUUGCUCGGAAUCAUUGGGCGUAAAGCGCACGUAGGCGGCUCGUUAAGUCGGAUGUGAAAGCCCCGGGCUCAACUCGGGAAGUGCAUUCGAAACUGGCGAGCUUGAAUAUGGAAGAGGGUCGCGGAAUUCCCGGUGUAGAGGUGAAAUUCGUAGAUAUCGGGAGGAACACCAGUGGCGAAGGCAGCAAACUGGGCUUCAUCUGACGCUGAUGCGCGAAAGCGUGGGUAGCAAACAGG
RNAcentral lists this ribosomal RNA (253 nucleotides) under uncultured bacterium. RNAcentral's name for it is "partial 16S ribosomal RNA". It matches the Rfam family "Bacterial small subunit ribosomal RNA", at positions 524 to 776 of the family's 1533-position model. The record is from RNAcentral.